UUGAACAUACUUUCAGGGAUCAUUUCUAUAGUUUAUUACCAGAAUAUUCUCAAUGUUGUUACUUCUACAAUUCAAGCAGGAGAGAAGUGGUCAAUAGAAUAGGAGGGACAUGAAGAGGUGGUAAGGAUUGAG
RNAcentral lists this small nucleolar RNA (132 nucleotides) under Equus caballus (horse). RNAcentral describes it as "Small nucleolar RNA U3 (ENSECAG00000042710.1)". It matches the Rfam family "Small nucleolar RNA U3". From Rfam's summary of the family: Small nucleolar RNAs (snoRNAs) are involved in the processing and modification of rRNA in the nucleolus. There are two main classes of snoRNAs: the box C/D class, and the box H/ACA class. Lineage: Eukaryota; Metazoa; Chordata; Mammalia; Perissodactyla; Equidae. The record is from Rfam by way of RNAcentral.